AACCACACUAUCGAUGAAUGGAUUCAUCCGCGAGAUGAUGUGGCUGUUUCACCUAGGACGAGGACAUAGCAUCAUAUUACCAGUCAUCGCACGAAAUUAAUAGGAUGUCACGUCCUCAUCCUAGAUGAAACAACCACGUCAUCUCAUGGGUGAAUCCUUUCAUCGAUAGUGUGGUU
Molecule: non-coding RNA, 176 nt
Organism: Oryza meridionalis
Lineage: Eukaryota; Viridiplantae; Streptophyta; Magnoliopsida; Poales; Poaceae
Source: Rfam